AUUGAACGCUGGCGGCAGGCCUAACACAUGCAAGUCGAGCGGAUGAAGGGAGCUUGCUCCUGGAUUCAGCGGCGGACGGGUGAGUAAUGCCUAGGAAUCUGCCUGGUAGUGGGGGAUAACGUCCGGAAACGGGCGCUAAUACCGCAUACGUCCUGAGGGAGAAAGUGGGGGAUCUUCGGACCUCACGCUAUCAGAUGAGCCUAGGUCGGAUUAGCUAGUUGGUGGGGUAAAGGCCUACCAAGGCGACGAUCCGUAACUGGUCUGAGAGGAUGAUCAGUCACACUGGAACUGAGAAACGGUCCAGACGCCUACGGGGGGCAGCAGUGGGGAAUAUUGGACAAUGGGCGAAAGCCUGAACCAGCCAUGCCGCGUGUGUGAAGAAGGUCUUCGGAUUGUAAAGCACUUUAAGUUGGGAGGAAGGGCAGUAAGUUAAUACCUUGCUGUUUUGACGUUACCAACAGAAAGAGCAGCGGCGGACUGCGU
This 483-nucleotide ribosomal RNA is filed under the name uncultured bacterium. Its description in RNAcentral is "partial 16S ribosomal RNA". It matches the Rfam family "Bacterial small subunit ribosomal RNA", at positions 30 to 506 of the family's 1533-position model. The record is from RNAcentral.